CCCAGUUCGGAUUGUAGUCUGCAACUCGACUACAUGAAGCCGGAAUCGCUAGUAAUCGCGGAUCAGAAUGCCGCGGUGAAUACGUUCCCGGGUCUUGUACACACCGCCCGUCACACCAUGGGAGCCGGAAAUGCCCGAAGUCAGUGACCCAACCAAUAAGGAGGGAGCUGCCGAAGGCAGGUCUGGUGACUGGGGUGAAGUCGUAACAAGGUAUC
This 215-nucleotide ribosomal RNA is filed under the name uncultured bacterium. Its description in RNAcentral is "partial 16S ribosomal RNA". It matches the Rfam family "Bacterial small subunit ribosomal RNA", at positions 1287 to 1500 of the family's 1533-position model. The record is from RNAcentral.